CGGCGCUUGAGGCUUUUGCCUCAUAGCCGUUGGUAGCAGUGCUGAUUUGUUGUGAGGCAGAAAGCAGAAAAGCCCCGAAGUUAAUUUUCAUUAACCCCGAGGCCCCUGUAUGCAUGAACAACAUCAGGAUAGCCUCUUACCAGCCGCAAGGCAAGGAGAAGACGGCCAUG
Molecule: antisense RNA, 170 nt
Filed under: Erwinia sp. Leaf53
Lineage: Bacteria; Pseudomonadati; Pseudomonadota; Gammaproteobacteria; Enterobacterales; Erwiniaceae
Description: sok antitoxin (CssrC)
Rfam family: sok antitoxin (CssrC)
About the family: Also identified in Shigella as CssrC.
Source: Rfam by way of RNAcentral